CUAGUUUAACAUCUAGAAGGAUAUUGUCAUUUAUGACAAAGGUACGGGUUCAAGUCCCGUAAAGGACU
RNAcentral lists this transfer RNA (68 nucleotides) under Alaria marginata. RNAcentral's name for it is "tRNA-Lys". The record is from RNAcentral. Lineage: Eukaryota; Phaeophyceae; Laminariales; Alariaceae.